Molecule: ribosomal RNA, 236 nt
Filed under: uncultured Candidatus Saccharibacteria bacterium
Lineage: Bacteria; Candidatus Saccharimonadota
Description: partial 16S ribosomal RNA
Rfam family: Bacterial small subunit ribosomal RNA
Source: RNAcentral
UAAGUGGAUAGUGAAACCUGGUGGCUCAACCAUACAGACUAUUAUCCAAACUGUUAAGCUCGAGAAUGGUAGAGGUGGCUGGAAUUUCUAGUGUAGGAGUGAAAUCCGUAGAUAUUAGAAGGAACACCGAUGGCGUAGGCAGGCCACUGGACCAUUUCUGACGCUAAGGCACGAAAGCGUGGGGAGCGAACCGGAUUAGAUACCCGGGUAGUCCACGCCGUAAACGAUGGAUGCUA